UACGGAGGGUGCAAGCGUUGUUCGGAUUGAUUGGGCGUAAAGCGCACGUAGGCGGGUUUAUAAGUCGAAUGUGAAAGCCCCGGGCUUAACCUGGGAAUUGCAUCCGAAACUAUAAAUCUUGAAUGCUUAAGAGGUUGGUGGAAUUCCUGGUGUAGGAGUGAAAUCCGUAGAUAUCAGGAGGAAUAUCGGAGGCGAAGGCGGCCGACUGGUGAUGCAUUGACGCUGAGGUGCGAAAGUGCGGGGAGCAAACAGG
RNAcentral lists this ribosomal RNA (253 nucleotides) under uncultured bacterium. RNAcentral describes it as "partial 16S ribosomal RNA". It matches the Rfam family "Bacterial small subunit ribosomal RNA", at positions 524 to 776 of the family's 1533-position model. The record is from RNAcentral.